Molecule: ribosomal RNA, 253 nt
Filed under: uncultured bacterium
Lineage: Bacteria
Description: partial 16S ribosomal RNA
Rfam family: Bacterial small subunit ribosomal RNA
Source: RNAcentral
UACGUAGGGUGCAAGCGUUGUCCGGAAUCAUUGGGCGUAAAGCGCGCGUAGGCGGCCCGGUAAGUCCGCUCUGAAAGUCCAGGGCUCAACCCUGGAAAGCGGGUGGAUACUGCCGGGCUAGAAUUCGGAAGAGGCGAGUGGAAUUCCUGGUGUAGCGGUGGAAUGCGCAGAUAUCUGGAGGAAUACCGGUGGCGAAGGCGGCAUCCUGGACCAUUACUGACGCUGAGGCGCGAAAGCUAGGGGAGCAAACGGG